Molecule: ribosomal RNA, 529 nt
Filed under: uncultured bacterium
Lineage: Bacteria
Description: bacterial SSU rRNA
Rfam family: Bacterial small subunit ribosomal RNA
Source: RNAcentral
AGAGUUUGAUCCUGGCUCAGAUUGAACGCUGGCGGCAGGCCUAACACAUGCAAGUCGAACGGUAGCACAGAGGAGCUUGCUCCUUGGGUGACGAGUGGCGGACGGGUGAGUAAUGUCUGGGAAACUGCCCGAUGGAGGGGGAUAACUACUGGAAACGGUAGCUAAUACCGCAUAACGUCGCAAGACCAAAGAGGGGGACCUUCGGGCCUCGCGCCAUCAGAUGAACCCAUAUGGGAUUAGCUUGUAGGUAAGGUAACGGCUUACCUAGGCGACGAUCCCUAGCUGGUCUGAGAGGAUGACCAGCCACACUGGAACUGAGACACGGUCCAGACUCCUACGGGAGGCAGCAGUGGGGAAUAUUGCACAAUGGGGGAAACCCUGAUGCAGCCAUGCCGCGUGUGUGAAGAAGGCCUUAGGGUUGUAAAGUACUUUCAGUUGGGAGGAAGGCGUUGAUGCUAAUAUCAUCAACGAUUGACGUUACCAACAGAAGAAGCACCGGCUAACUCCGUGCCAGCAGCCGCGGUAAUUC